AGUAACGCGUGAGGAACCUGCCUUCCAGAGGGGGACAACAGUUGGAAACGACUGCUAAUACCGCAUAAUGUGUUGUGAUGGCAUCAUUGCAACACCAAAGAUUUAUCGCUGGAAGAUGGCCUCGCGUCUGAUUAGCUAGUAGGCGGGGUAACGGCCCACCUAGGCGACGAUCAGUAGCCGGCCUGAGAGGGUGAACGGCCACAUUGGGACUGAGACACGGCCCAAACUCCUACGGAAGGCAGCAG
This 245-nucleotide ribosomal RNA is filed under the name uncultured bacterium. Its description in RNAcentral is "partial 16S ribosomal RNA". It matches the Rfam family "Bacterial small subunit ribosomal RNA", at positions 109 to 354 of the family's 1533-position model. The record is from RNAcentral.